GUCAUACAUUCCAAACAGUAAACAUGUUUUAAAUAGUAUGGUGGAUGUAUCACAGAUUGUUGUUCUUAGGUUAAACAAUAUGAAACUAAAAGCCAGACACCAUAAAUAACAGAUAAGAUAACCUAUACCAAGCAUUAACAAUAUACCAUAGUGUGCAUACAUUGUCAAAUGAUAUGCAAAUGUGAGCUCGAAUUAAACGGUGGCAAUAUGAAAUCACAUUAUAUCAUACGGUUGGUUCUUAUGCUUGCGCAGCACACUCACACCAGAACAUUUCACUAUACAUUACUUUUGUUAAACAGUAUGGCAAAGAGUUGCACGUGUUUGUAAUUGUGAUCGACUUUAUUGAACAUGCAUCGUGGUUGUUUCUUUAUUUCUCGUCAAAUGUUUCACAAAGGUCUGUUAUCUAAAAAUCGCAAACUUAAUGAAAAUUGUACACGAGUAUUACUUUUUCUCUUUUCAAUUGUAUUUAUUAAUUGUAUUAUUAAUUGUUUAUAUAUAUAUAUAUAUAUUAUCUCUUUCCAAUUGUAUAUUUUUAUUUAUUUUUGCAAAAUAACUUUAACACUUGUAAUUGCAAAGCCAAAUAUUUUUACAAUAUUUUUUUCUAUUCGUAAGCUCUAUAAUAGUUUAAUUCAGUUGAUUGCAGCUUAACUUUGAAUGAAAAUUAAAAAAAAAAAAUCAAGAUUUUGAUUACAUUGAGCGUAUUAUAAGUUAGGACCUUCUCAAAUGUUACGCGAGAUUCGAAUAACAACAGUGAAAAUAAAUAACCAUCGUCGCGGAAAAACGUAAAUCCGAGAAACAAAUUUCACUAGUCCACUAAUAAAAUAACGAUGCAGCUUCCACCUAGAAGGAACCUCGGAAGGAACAGGAUCUUAUUGUCGCAGAAAAUCGUCGGAAGAUCGGUGCCGAAUAGGCCGAGAAUAGGCAAACUGACCUGAUUCGAAUCAGAUCCGACAACAUCCGUGACUACUUGGAACAGCGUUAUAAGGAGGAAUUGCUCACAGGCCGGAUAACCCGCUCGGAUUUGGUCAACCGAUUGUAGCAUCUAGGCUACUCUCACUGCAACGACGGUGCCAGCAAAAAAGGAAGAGCCAUCAGAGGAUAGUUCAGACGACCGCGAGGAAGAAUCCAGGUCAGCACCAGCGAAAUCUACAGCUGUAUCGAAGAAGUUCCACCAGUGAAACCUUGGUGAAUCUCCAAGUGUCCUGCUCUAAUUAACCGUUGCUGUCGCGGCUGCCAGCAACCAGCUUCAGCCAAGAAGAAAGACAAGUGGAGAUUCUAGUGAGGCGAAAUAAGUAAAGCCACCGGCAAAAUGAAGACAUAUUCUUCAAAGAAAAAUCUGGAAUCGUCCGACAUAGAUUCUUCGGAUUCCGACGCGAAACUCGAAGAGGAACCAGCCGACAAGAGGAAAAUAUGGCAAGGACUGAUAAGUGUCGGUUCAACAACUAUGCCGGUGUUCAGACGUGCGGUCAAUGAACGUAUGGUUUUAAGGUUUUAAGAACUCACCGGCUCGCGUACAAAAUGCUCUUGGAAACGCCAAACUCCAACGCCGAACAACAUGGAGAUGCCGAUGGUGCAAGUGAAGCUGGAUAAACUACUAAAUAACUAAUAAAACGACUAAUUAGAUGAGCAUCCAAAUUUAA
Long non-coding RNA from Aedes albopictus (Asian tiger mosquito), 1640 nucleotides. RefSeq lists it as uncharacterized. The record is from RefSeq and is a predicted model, not a curated record. NCBI's taxonomy places the organism in Eukaryota, Metazoa, Arthropoda, Insecta, Diptera, Culicidae. The transcript is spliced from 3 exons.